This 488-nucleotide ribosomal RNA is filed under the name uncultured Lachnospiraceae bacterium. RNAcentral's name for it is "partial 16S ribosomal RNA". The record is from RNAcentral. Lineage: Bacteria; Bacillati; Bacillota; Clostridia; Lachnospirales; Lachnospiraceae.
CACGUAGUUAGCCGGGGCUUCUUAGUCAGGUACCGUCAUUUUCUUCCCUGCUGAUAGAGCUUUACGUACCGAGAUACUUCUUCACUCACGCGGCGUCGCUGCAUCAGGGUUUCCCCCAUUGUGCAAUAUUCCCCACUACUGCCUCCCGUAGGAGUUUGGGCCGUGUCUCAGUCCCAAUGUGGCCGUCCACCCUCUCAGGCCGGCUACUGAUCGCUGCCUUGGUGGGCCGUUACCCCGCCAACUAGCUAAUCAGACGCGGAUCCAUCGUAUACCACCGGAGUUUUUCACACUGCCCCAUGCGGAGCCGUGCGCUUAUGCGGUAUUAGCACCUAUUUCCAAGUGUUAUCCCCCGGUAUACGGCAGGUUAUCCACGCGUUACUCACCCGUCCGCCACUAACUCAUAAAUCACUAGGUUUCAAUAUGAGUCCGUUCGACUUGCAUGUGUUAAGCACGCCGCCAGCGUUCAUCCUGAGCCAGGAUCAAACUCU